GUAGCAAUACGGUCUCAGUGGCGAACGGGUGAGUAACGCGUUGGUGAUCUGCCUCGAAGUGGGGAAUAACGAUUCGAAAGAAUCGCUAAUACCGCAUAGUCUCUCGGUGUUUAGAAAGCUGAGAGUAAAGGAUUUAUUCGCUUUGAGAGGAGCCUGCGUCCCAUCAGCUAGUUGGUAAGGUAAUGGCCUACCAAGGCGAUGACGGGUAGGGGACCUGAGAGGGUGGCCCCCCACAAUGGAACUGAAACACGGUCCAUACACCUACGGGUGGCAGCAGUAGGGAAUAUUAGAAAUGGACGAAAGUCUGAUCUAGCAACACCGCGUGUGCGAUGAAGGCCUUCGGGUUGUAAAGCACUUUUUGGAAGGAUUAGGAAGGAAUGUACUUCCAGAAUAAGUCUCGGCUAACUACGUGCCAGCAGCCGCGGUAACACGUAGGAGGCGAACGUUAUCCGGAUUUACUGGGCGUAAAGCGCGUGUAGGUGGUUCUGUAAGUAGGGCGUGAAAGCUCCUGGCUCAACUGGGAGAGGCCGUUCUAAACUGCAGAGCUAGAGGAUGGUAGAGGGAGGUGGAAUUCCGGGUGUAGCGGUGGAAUGCGCAGAUAUCCGGAGGAACACCAGUGGCGAAGGCGGCCUCCUGGACCAUUCCUGACACUCAGACGCGAAAGCUAGGGUAGCAAACGGGAUUAGAGACCCCGGUAGUCCUAGCCCUAAACGAUGUAGACUUGGCGUCGGUGGCUUAAUCGUCAUCGGUGUCGUAGCUAACGCGAUAAGUCUACCGCCUGGGGACUACGGCCGCAAGGUUAAAACUCAAAGGAAUUGACGGGUCCCCGCACAAGCAGCGGAGCGUGUGGUUUAAUUCGUUGC
RNAcentral lists this ribosomal RNA (863 nucleotides) under uncultured bacterium. RNAcentral's name for it is "bacterial SSU rRNA". It matches the Rfam family "Bacterial small subunit ribosomal RNA", at positions 76 to 957 of the family's 1533-position model. The record is from RNAcentral.